GUGAAGAACGCAGCGAAAUGCGAUAAGUAAUGCGAAUUGCAGAAUUUCCGUGAGUCAUCGAAUCUUUGAACGCACAUUGCGCCCCCUGGUAUUCCGGGGGGCAUGCCUGUCCGAGCGUCAUUGCUGCCCUCAAGCACGGCUUGUGUGUUGGGCCUCCGUCCUCCUCCCGGAGGACGGGCCCGAAAGGCAGCGGCGGCACCGCGUCCGGUCCUCGAGCGUAUGGGGCUUCGUCACCCGCUCUUGUAGGCCCGGCCGGCGCUUGCCGACACAUCAAUCUUUUUUCCAGGUUGACCUCGGAUCAGGUAGGGAUACCCGCUGAACUUAAGCAUAUCAAUAAGCGGAGGA
RNAcentral lists this unclassified non-coding RNA (345 nucleotides) under soil metagenome. Its description in RNAcentral is "partial contains 5.8S ribosomal RNA, internal transcribed spacer 2, and large subunit ribosomal RNA". The stretch from base 2 to 120 matches the Rfam family "5.8S ribosomal RNA", at positions 37 to 154 of the family's 154-position model. The record is from RNAcentral.